RNAcentral lists this long non-coding RNA (1502 nucleotides) under Felis catus (domestic cat). RNAcentral describes it as "lncRNA (ENSFCAG00000053734.1)". Lineage: Eukaryota; Metazoa; Chordata; Mammalia; Carnivora; Felidae. The record is from RNAcentral.
AGAAAAGGGAGUCCAUGGGGGACUGAGAACCUGUUAAGAUCUGUUAUCACGAUAGGCGUUCAGAGAAUAGAGGUUAUUACAAUUAGCGUAUCAAGGAUAUACCUAAAAUGUUACUAUGAUUCUUGAUUGCGUUGUUACCAUGAAUGGUAAUACUAAGAUGUCUCUAAUGCUUAUUUUCUGCCAAGUGAUUGAAACCUCCUUUGGUUCUCAGAACACCUCUGCUGUAUGACGGGCCUUGAUAAUAUUCCCUCUGUGGAUGAGAGGAACCCAGCGCUGAGAAGUCAUUAGGGACAGUCUUCUUCCACCUUUCUGCUCUACCACCGUCCAGGUAAAGCUUUCAUCCCCAAGGCUAUAAGAGCUGCUGGAGCGCGAGACAUUACAGCAGAAUUUCCAAGCAGGAAGCAGGAGCCCCAAGUCGACUGCAUUUCCAAGGGCUUCGCGCUGUCAUUAUCUUCUGCGGACUUGCCCCCCAGGAACCAAGUAGCCUGUCGCCUUCGGUGCGUUUCCUCUGCUCUGAACCGAGGCUGCACCGAGCGCUAACCUGCAACCUGAGAGGGAGUUUGCAACCCGAGCAAGCGUGGAAAAUCCCUGUGUUGUUUCCGACAGGAUCUGAUUGUAACACCGAUCCCAUAGUUAAUUGCAGUUCCCUCACUGGGCUUAUUAACUCCUCUCUACUUGGGGAAGGCACCCAAGCCAUUUUUUGCUUAUUUUAAGAAGAUGGUGGGCAAGAUUAGGGAAUGAGCUGAGGGUAAAGGAAGUGUACAAAUCGACAUUUGUUUGCAGGGAGGCACUGUGCUUUGGGGGACCCUGACGGUAAGGAGUUCAGGUGCGUGUGAAACUCAGCACUACAGAGGUUAGUUAACACAUCAGCCCUGUUCAGGGCUCAGCCUUGACCUGGAUUCCUCCUCAUAUUGGACCCUGGGCUCUGGUCCGUUCUCACCGGAGCCCUGCUGGGGCCGCUGGCUGGUGCAGAGACCUCCCUAGCCAGGGCCAGCCGUGUCCUCUGUGGCUGGAGGGACAGGUGCCAAUGAAGGGGCUCAGUGUGGCCGAGAGCAGCAUGUCCAAGACUUAGCCUGGCCCCAGGUGGUUUUCUUCCCACGUGGAAGCUCAAAGUCUCUGCUGAGAUUUUUUUUUUCAACGUUUAUUUAUUUUUGGGACAGAGAGAGACAGAGCAUGAAUGGGGGAGGGGCAGAGAGAGAGGGAGACACAGAAUCGGAAACAGGCUUCCAGGCUCUGAGCCAUCAGCCCAGAGCCUGACGCGGGGCUCGAACUCACGGACCGCGAGAUCGUGACCUGGCUGAAGUCCGACGCUUAACCGACUGCGCCACCCAGGCACCCCGUCUGCUGAGAUUUUUAAACAGUGCACUUAAAGAGCCUGCUCUCUGUCUGAUCUUGUUAGAAGACGCCAUCCCCUUCCCUCUGUGGCCACUUACACCUUUGUGACUAAGUGGGCUUGGGUCCCUAAUAUCCCCAUAAGAGGGGUUACUUACACUUCCACAAAC